UUGCCAGACUCCUACGGGAGGCAGCAGUGGGGAAUAUUGCACAAUGGGGGAAACCCUGAUGCAGCGACGCCGCGUGAGUGAAGAAGUAAUUCGUUACGUAAAGCUCUAUCAGCAGGGAAGAGAAUGACGGUACCUGAGUAAGAAGCCCCGGCUAACUACGUGCCAGCAGCCGCGGUAAUACGUAGGGGGCAAGCGUUAUCCGGAUUUACUGGGUGUAAAGGGAGCGUAGACGGCCGUGCAAGUCUGAUGUGAAAACCCGGGGCUCAACCCCGGGACUGCAUUGGAAACUGCAUGGCUGGAGUGUCGGAGAGGCAAGUGGAAUUCCUAGUGUAGCGGUGAAAUGCGUAGAUAUUAGGAGGAACACCAGUGGCGAAGGCGGCUUGCUGGACGACGACUGACGUUGAGGCUCGAAAGCGUGGGGAGCAAACAGGAUUAGAUACCCGAGUAUC
RNAcentral lists this ribosomal RNA (449 nucleotides) under uncultured bacterium. Its description in RNAcentral is "bacterial SSU rRNA". It matches the Rfam family "Bacterial small subunit ribosomal RNA", at positions 328 to 794 of the family's 1533-position model. The record is from RNAcentral.